Molecule: small nuclear RNA, 104 nt
Organism: Antechinus flavipes (yellow-footed antechinus)
Lineage: Eukaryota; Metazoa; Chordata; Mammalia; Dasyuromorphia; Dasyuridae
Source: RefSeq, a predicted model, not a curated record
GCUUGUUUCAGUAGCCCAUAUACUGAAAUUAAAUGAUAUAGAAAAGAUCAACAUGAUUUCUGUGCAAGGAUGACAUGCAUACUUGUGAAGUACUGCAUAUUUUU